ACCCUUGUGGAGGAGGACGCCGAAGGUGGGGCUAAUGACUGGGGUGAAGUCGUAACAAGGUAGCCGUACCGGAAGGUGCGGCUGGAUCACCUCCUAACAGGGAGACAACAAAAUGUUUAAUAUUAUUAUUUUGUCACCUUAGGUCGAUCGGUAUCUCACGUUUUUAAUUUAUUAAGAAUUUCAUUUCCUAAGUUUUUCUAGGUCACACCCAUUAUUUUUCCUGGGCCAUUAGCUCAGGUGGUUAGAGCGCACCCCUGAUAAGGGUGAGGUCCCUGGUUCAAGUCCAGGAUGGCCCAUAUCUCUAUGUUGGGGGUAUAGCUCAGUUGGUAGAGCGCCUGCUUUGCAAGCAGGAUGUCAGCGGUUCGAGUCCGCUUACCUCCACUGAUUACCACCUCUUCCAUAUCCGGUAGAAAGGAAAUGUUUUGAGUUGUGAUCAAAUUCUGAAAGAAUCUAGCUUCCUAAUGAAAUCAUUAAGAUGCUGGACUCAUUGAAUUAAUUUCAUUGUUUUCAGAGAACCUUGACAACUGCAUAGAUUAUUUUUAAAGACAAUAAGCAUCUUUAAUGAUGCAGAUUUAUUAUUUGUGCGAACGCAUUAAUAACAAUUCUAUUAAGCUGAUGCUUCAAUUUUUGAAGUUAUUGGUCAAGCUACAAAGGGCUCACGGAGGAUACCUAGGCACACAGAGGCG
RNAcentral lists this unclassified non-coding RNA (686 nucleotides) under uncultured Prochlorococcus sp. RNAcentral's name for it is "partial may contain 16S ribosomal RNA, 16S-23S ribosomal RNA intergenic spacer, and 23S ribosomal RNA". The stretch from base 1 to 97 matches the Rfam family "Bacterial small subunit ribosomal RNA", at positions 1437 to 1533 of the family's 1533-position model. The record is from RNAcentral. Lineage: Bacteria; Bacillati; Cyanobacteriota; Cyanophyceae; Synechococcales; Prochlorococcaceae.